UUGUUUUCUGAUGUUACAAUACUUCCACCUGUGGAACGAUACAGAGAAGAUUAGCAUGGCCCCUGUGCAAGGAUGACACGCAAAUUCGUGAAGCGUUCCAUAUUUUU
This is a small nuclear RNA of Mastomys coucha (southern multimammate mouse), 107 nucleotides long. The record is from RefSeq and is a predicted model, not a curated record. Lineage: Eukaryota; Metazoa; Chordata; Mammalia; Rodentia; Muridae.